This 219-nucleotide unclassified non-coding RNA is filed under the name uncultured Tomentella. RNAcentral's name for it is "sequence contains ITS2". Lineage: Eukaryota; Fungi; Basidiomycota; Agaricomycetes; Thelephorales; Thelephoraceae. The record is from RNAcentral.
ACACCUCAACUCUCAUGGUUUGCCAUGAUGAGCUUGGACUCUGGGGGAUUUGCUGGCCCUGCAGUUGGCUCCCCUCAAACAAAUCAGCUUUCCAGUGUUUGGUGGCAUCACGGGUGUGAUAAAUAUCUACGCUUGCGAUUGCCCACCAGGUAACCUUCAGCAACGGAGGUCCGCUGGGGCUCAUAGACGUCUCUCCUUCAGCGAGGACAGCUUUUUGAA